AUUGAACGCUGGCGGCAUGCUUUACACAUGCAAGUCGAACGGUAACAGGCCUUCGGGUGCUGACGAGUGGCGGACGGGUGCGUAAUGCAUCGGAACGUGCCCAGAGGCGGGGGAUAACGCAGCGCAAGCUGUGCUAAUACCGCAUGUGAUCUGAGGAUGAAAGCGGGGGACCAGGCAGCAAUGUUUGGCCUCGCCUCUUUCGAGUAGCCGAUGUCAGAUUAGGUAGUUGGUGGGGUAAAGGCCUACCAAGCCGACGAUCUGUAGCUGAUCUGAGAGGACGACCGGCCACACUGGAACUGAGACACGGCCCAGACUCCUACGGGAGGCAGCAGUGGGGAAUUUUGGACAAUGGGCGCAAGCCUGACGCAGCAAUGCCGCGUGAGUGAGGAAGGCCUUCGGGUUGUAAACCGCUUUUGUAAGGAAAGAAAAGGCUCUGGCUAAUAUCUGGGGGUGAUGACGGUACCGAAAGAGUAAGCACCGGCUAACUACGUG
This 492-nucleotide ribosomal RNA is filed under the name uncultured bacterium. RNAcentral describes it as "partial 16S ribosomal RNA". It matches the Rfam family "Bacterial small subunit ribosomal RNA", at positions 30 to 507 of the family's 1533-position model. The record is from RNAcentral.